RNAcentral lists this ribosomal RNA (667 nucleotides) under soil bacterium ic038. Its description in RNAcentral is "partial 16S ribosomal RNA". It matches the Rfam family "Bacterial small subunit ribosomal RNA", at positions 80 to 744 of the family's 1533-position model. The record is from RNAcentral.
CUUCGGAUANAGAGACCGGCGCACGGUGNGUAACGCGUAUGCAAUNUACAUAUUACAGAGGNAUAGCCCAGAGNAAUUUGGAUUNAUACCUCAUAGUAUAUAGACCUGGCAUCACGAUUAUAUUAAAGUCACAACGGUAAAAGAUGAGCAUGCGUCCCAUUAGAUAGUUGGNAAGNUAACGGCUUACCAAGGUUACGAUGGGUAGGGGUCCUGAGAGGGAGAUCCCCCACACUGGUACUGAGACACGGACCAGAUUCGAUACGGGAGGCANCANUGAGGAAUAUUGGACAAUGGGCGCAAGCNUGAUCCAGCCAUGCCGCGUGCAGGAUGACGGUCCUAUGGAUUGUAAACUGUUUUUAUACGAGCANGAAACACUGCUUCGUGAAGCAGCUUGACGGUAUCGUAAGAAUAAGGAUCGGCUAACUCCGUGCCAGCAGCCGCGGUAAUACGGAGGAUCCAAGCGUUAUCCGGAAUCAUUGGGUUUAAAGGGUCCGUAGGCGGUUUGUUAAGUCAGUGGUGAAAGCCCAUCGCUCAACNNUGGANCGGCCAUNGAUACUGCCAGACUUGAAUUAUUAGGAAGUAACUAGAAUUNGUAGUGUAGCGGUGAAAUGCUUAGAGAUNACNUGGAAUACCNAUUGCGAAGGCAGGUUACUANUNAUGGAUUGAC